This 749-nucleotide ribosomal RNA is filed under the name uncultured cyanobacterium. RNAcentral's name for it is "bacterial SSU rRNA". It matches the Rfam family "Bacterial small subunit ribosomal RNA", at positions 8 to 796 of the family's 1533-position model. Lineage: Bacteria; Bacillati; Cyanobacteriota. The record is from RNAcentral.
AGAGUUUGAUCCUGGCUCAGGAUGAACGCUGGCGGUCUGCUUAACACAUGCAAGUCGAACGCAGUCCUUCGGGGCUGAGUGGCGGACGGGUGAGUAACGCGUGAGAAUCUGCCUAAAGGACUGGGACAACAGCUGGAAACGGCUGCUAAUACCAGAUAUGCCAGAAAGUGAAAAGGGGUAACCCGCCUUUUGAUGAGCUCGCGUCUGAUUAGCUAGUUGGUAGGGUAAAGGCCUACCAAGGCUCCGAUCAGUAACUGGUCUGAGAGGAUGACCAGUCACACUGGGACUGAGACACGGCCCAGACUCCUACGGGAGGCAGCAGUGGGGAAUUUUCCGCAAUGGGCGCAAGCCUGACGGAGCAAUACCGCGUGAGGGAGGAAGGCUCUUGGGUCGUAAACCUCUUUUCUCAGGGAAGAACACAAUGACGGUACCUGAGGAAUCAGCAUCGGCUAACUCCGUGCCAGCAGCCGCGGUAAUACGGAGGAUGCAAGCGUUAUCCGGAAUGAUUGGGCGUAAAGCGUCCGCAGGUGGCAGUGUAAGUCUGCUGUCAAAGGUCAGGGCUCAACCCUGAACAGGCAGUGGAAACUACACAGCUAGAGUGCGGUGGGGGCAGAGGGAAUUCCCAGUGUAGCGGUGAAAUGCGUAGAGAUUGGGAAGAACACCGGUGGCGAAAGCGCUCUGCUAGGCCGCAACUGACACUCAUGGACGAAAGCUAGGGGAGCGAAUGGGAUUAGAUACCCCAGUAGUCC